This 63-nucleotide transfer RNA is filed under the name Orthotrichia sp. XG-2021. Its description in RNAcentral is "tRNA-Thr". Lineage: Eukaryota; Metazoa; Arthropoda; Insecta; Trichoptera; Hydroptilidae. The record is from RNAcentral.
GUUUUAAUAGUUUAAAAAAAACAAUGAUUUUGUAAAUCAUAAAUAUUUAUAUAAUUUAAAACU